GAUCCUUCGGGGGGCAGCAGUGGGGAAUAUUGGACAAUGGGGGAAACCCUUAUCCAGCGACGCCGCGUGAGGGAAGAAGGUUUUCGGAUUGUAAACCUCUGUCAGUGGGGACGAUAAUGACGGUACCCACGGAGGAAGCCACGGCUAACUACGUGCCAGCAGCCGCGGUAAUACGUAGGUGGCAAGCGUUGUCCGGAUUCACUGGGCGUAAAGGGAGCGCAGGCGGCAUGGCAAGUCUGAUGUGAAAACCCGGGGCCCAACCCCGGGAGUGCAUUGGAAACUGCCAGGCUGGAGUGUCGGAGGGG
RNAcentral lists this ribosomal RNA (305 nucleotides) under uncultured bacterium. Its description in RNAcentral is "bacterial SSU rRNA". It matches the Rfam family "Bacterial small subunit ribosomal RNA", at positions 334 to 657 of the family's 1533-position model. The record is from RNAcentral.